This 326-nucleotide ribosomal RNA is filed under the name uncultured eukaryote. RNAcentral's name for it is "partial 18S ribosomal RNA". It matches the Rfam family "Eukaryotic small subunit ribosomal RNA", at positions 1470 to 1796 of the family's 1831-position model. The record is from RNAcentral.
CCCUUAGAUGUUCUGGGCCGCGCGCGCGCUACACUGAUGCAUUCAACGAGUUCCUACCUUGGCCGAGAGGCCUGGGCAAUCUUUUGAACUUGCAUCGUGAUAGGGAUAGAUUAUUGCAAUUAUUAAUCUUGAACGAGGAAUUCCUAGUAAACGCAGAUCAUCAAUCUGCAUUGAUUACGUCCCUGCCCUUUGUACACACCGCCCGUCGCACCUACCGAUUGAAUGGUCCGGUGAAGCCUCGGGAUUGUGGUUAGUUUCCUUCAUUGGAAGUUAGCCGCGAGAACUUGUCUAAACCUUAUCAUUUAGAGGAAGGUGAAGUCGUAACA